UAUGCAGAUUUACUCGGCAUGGUAGUGGCCA
Molecule: non-coding RNA, 31 nt
Filed under: Homo sapiens (human)
Lineage: Eukaryota; Metazoa; Chordata; Mammalia; Primates; Hominidae
Source: RNAcentral